AAAAUAAUGAAACUGUAUGGUGCAGAAAGUGUCUUUUUCAUUACAGUUUCUGGUGCUGGGCAAUGGUAGAUCACUAUGGCUUCUGCACCGUGAAAUGAAGCUUAUGAUGAAAUACUGAUGCUUGGCUAAUCUCACCAACGGGAUAUAAUAAGAACUGAUGCAGGUUUGUAAUUACAUGUAUUGUCUAUCCGGAACAAAGUUAGUACGCUUUUUAUACCGAAGUUGGAUUUUUCUCCAGAUACAGGCAACUUACCCAACUUCGAAAGUAGUGCGCUUGAUUCGCCUAAACAACGCAUCAUUUAGUUUGACAGAUAAAACUUUGGAAGAAACUUCGGUUCGGAAGUCCCUACAGCAAAGCGAGGUAAAAUGAGUGAAAAUGAAGUUUAAACUG
Molecule: long non-coding RNA, 391 nt
Organism: Armigeres subalbatus
Lineage: Eukaryota; Metazoa; Arthropoda; Insecta; Diptera; Culicidae
Exons: 3
Source: RefSeq, a predicted model, not a curated record